This 445-nucleotide ribosomal RNA is filed under the name uncultured bacterium. RNAcentral's name for it is "partial 16S ribosomal RNA". The record is from RNAcentral.
GACUACCCGGGUAUCUAAUCCCGUUCGCUACCCACGCUUUCGUGCCUCAGCGUCAGCUCGGCGCCAGUCAGCUGCCUUCGCUUUUGGUAUUCCCCAUGAUAUCAACGGAUUUCACCCCUACACCAUGAGUUCUACUGACCUCUCACCUGCUCUAAGUUGUGCCGUUUCUCCCGCCCAUUCCCGGUUAAGCCGGGAGCUUUCACAGGAGACUAACACAACCGCCUACGCACCCUUUACGCCCAAUGAUUCCGGAUAACGCUUGGGGCACUCGUAUUACCGCUGCUGCUGGCACGAGUUUAGCAACCCCUUAUUCCUGAGGUACCGUCAAUAAACUUCUUCCCUCAUAAAAGGUGUUUACGUCCCGAAGGACUUCAUCCUCCACGCGGCGUCGCUCCGUCAGGCUUUCGCCCAUUGCGGAAGAUUCUCGACUGCAGCCGCCCGUAGG